UGAGCACUAAACUGUUUUUCU
RNAcentral lists this non-coding RNA (21 nucleotides) under Caenorhabditis elegans. Lineage: Eukaryota; Metazoa; Nematoda; Chromadorea; Rhabditida; Rhabditidae. The record is from RNAcentral.